Molecule: long non-coding RNA, 4543 nt
Organism: Haemorhous mexicanus (house finch)
Lineage: Eukaryota; Metazoa; Chordata; Aves; Passeriformes; Fringillidae
Exons: 3
Source: RefSeq, a predicted model, not a curated record
UCACACCUCAGCAGCUGUCCCUGGCUGGGGAGAGCAAGGCUUCACCUGGGACCACAGUCCCAGCUCCUGUUGCAGGGAAGGGUGAUGGGUAGCUGCCUCCUCCCUGCUGACAGCACUCUUUGGAAGGGACCCACACAGAUCAUCGAGUCCAAUUCCUGGCCCUGGACAGGACAAUCCCAGAAAUCCCACCAUGUGCCUGAGGGUGUUGUCCUAAGGGAAUUUGGACAUUGUCCAAAUGCUCCUGGAGCUCUGUCAGGCUUGGUGCUGUGACCAUUCCCUGGGGAGCCUGUUCCUGUUCGUGAUCACCCUCUGGGUGAAGAACCUUUUCCUGAUAUCUUUAUUUUACAGAGCUGAGACCCUUAAAGCAUUUUCUGAACUCAGGUCUCGGCUCCAAAGGCAGAGGCAGUGUAACCUGCCAGACAAACUCUUGGGGCUGUGCUAAAGCAAGCACUGUGGAGCUCUGCUCCAAGUGUUGGUGGUGACCGUGGAGUCACCUCCUCAGCCAGAGCCAAGCAAUCUUGUUUCUGCUCAUUAGCUCUGAAAGGUUUUUCCAUCCAUAAUAAGAAAGUCAUUAAUGUUAAACUUCCACUGCCAAGUAGGACUGAUUUGAAGAUUAUAACCACUAUAAAGGGGGGAUGCAUCACAUAUACAAUGUGUUAAAGCCCUGGUGUGCAGGAAUUGUUGCUUCAAUGGUUGCCUGUCAUCUGUGGAACUCACCAAAGCUCAUCCAUGGAGCUCAGACAGAUGUGGGACUGCUCAGCAGCCUGGAAGGGGUAGCAAAAAGUGGCUACUUUCAAAGGGAAAAGGUAAAUUCAAAUCAGUAUCAUCCUCUACAGAAGGGCUGUUAUCCUGUCCUAGGAGACGACAGAAUUAGUGAUCUAACACGUCUCCAUGCUCUUGUUGCUGUGAUAUUUUAUUAAUAUGGUGCAUGGCCCAGAGGUCCUCAGUUCACAGAUGGGAAAUGCUCAGUGUGGGACCCCCUCUCCAAGGAGCUACCAAGACUGACUUAUCUUCUCCUGAACGUGGCCCAGAAAUCUGGGUGCAGUUAUGUGGUGUGUUCUGCCGAUGUGUUCUGCUUCCCCUCCGUGGCUGAUGUGUCAGUGAAUCAGCUGUCCGUCCAUCCAUCCAUCCAUCCAUCCAUCCAUUCAUCCAUCCACUUCUUGGAUGUAAAAGUUAUUUUAGACAUAUAUCAUUCAUCAUAUAAAAAGCUUUUGACAGUGAACUGUGCAGGUGUGUGUUGCUCCUCUGACUGGGAGAUGGGAUGGAUGGAUGGAUGGAUGGAUGGAUGGAUGGAUGGAUGGAUGGAUGGAUGGAUGGAUGGAUGGAUGGAGGAACCUGGUGAGCAGAAAGAGGGAUUUGGCUCAGCUCAGCACAUCCAGCCUCAGCUCUGCCUGUGUGAUGUUACAGGGCAGACCAAAGUGUGUGAGAAAGAAGUGGGCAUGGUAAGGCAGAUAACCAGUAAUUUGCUAUGAGUAUGAUCACAGAAGAGGACCAGUGGAUUUGGUUUGUCCAAAGAAAAAUGCAGAGAGAGAAAACAGAGAGAGAAAGAAGCAACCAAUACACUGUGUGAAGCAUUCAAAAAGUGGUUAAAGGAGCAGAACCACAGAAAGAUAAAUUCAUGAAGCCUGGAGAGUGCUGCAGAAAUCUCAUUAUAAAUAUCAUGUUAAGUUGUAGAUCAAGAAAUCCCCGACUUUCCAUCUUUAUCUCUUCUCCUUAAAUGCAUUAGCAGCUGACUUGUCCUUCUGGCUACUCUCAGGUCUUACUGAAAUGUAGUUUCCCAUUCCAUGUGCUUCCCUCAUCCAGGCUGGGUUUGCUGCAUGGCAACACUGAUGAAGUGUCCAUGUCAGCCCCCCUGUGGUGGCUAAAACCAACCCUGUAAGCAAAGCUUCAUAAUUUUAUUUAUGACUUUUGGAUGAGAUAAUGGUUUUCCACUUUGAAAAGAAAGCUCACUACUUCAACAUUUAUUUUCUAUAAAUGCCAUGGCAUUUAUAUUGCAACAGGAGACUAUUCAGUGACAUUAUCUGAUAAAUAUCGUGUUAUACAGCUGCAAUUUACAAUGCAUAUAUUUUUAACGGUGCUUCUAAGCUAAAUUAAAUGCUUCUAAAAUAUGAUACUUAAGGAAAACAAAUGUCUGUUCUAGCAAUUUUGUUUUUCAGGGUGCACUAUUUUUUAAAAACCAGAUACCAUCUUCAUCCUGUCAGGCAGUAAAUUAUGCACUUGCACUUUCAUAAACUCUCCCCUUGGGAACUUAGUCAAUGAAAUGGAAAUGUCUUUUUCACACCCUCCAACUCCAGAGAAAUAAAGGGAAAUAGCCAACUUGGUUAUAAACUGAAUAUCUAGAGGGAAUCCAUAUAAAAUGCGAAUUAAUGCAGUCCUGAUGCAUGUAUUGUUUAGCAUAUGUACCAUUCACUCAAAUGGUGCAUUGAGUUGUGACUGGGAUCAUUAAUGUUUCCCCUCCUUUUCUCUGAAUUGGGAGAGUAAUUGCAGGUUCUCUGGUGGGAUCUGCAGGGACAAAGACACUCACUGGCACUGGAUUGUGAACCUCCCUUCCAAGCCAGGACACCUGCAGGAGGAGGAAAGCUCUGCUGGCCUGCUCAGGGAGUAAAGCACGACAGCAUUUACACCUCAGUUGGUCUUUCCUGUGUUGUGGGGUGGGAUUGGGCAGGACAAGGGCUUGCAAUGGGGUGUUCUGCCUGUGGGACAGCCUUUCACAAGGAGCAGCAGAGCUACUGAGGCCACUGAAUUUGAUGUUCCUUGUAGGUCCCUUCCAACUGAAUUAUUAAAAUCUACUUCUGUUUUUACCAUCUAUCACCCAGAACCACAGAGUUUUGCCUGUAGCAGUCAAAUGCCUUCAUAUGAAGCCCUGUGUGGUCCAAGGAGUUGUGUUAUCCCCUCACCACAUCACAUGUGGAGAGUGUGAGAAGCCAGCAAAAAGGCAGUAAGGAAAGGAAGCCAGGAAGGGAUUUGAAGGGAGUCUGCUGAGAUGCCCAGGGAUCCCUCAGGAGCAGGAGGAGCUACAGCAGCUCUCCUGAGCCAGGAAGGGCACUGAAGCUGUUCACCUGACUACUGAUGGUCCUCAUUUUCCCCAAUCUACCCUUGAGAGCCCUCUAAAAACCCCAGCUCUUCACUCUGGGGAACGCAUGAAAUGUGAGAUGUAUUAGAUGCAUUCAGCAAUGGCAGCAAACUUAGAGAAAACAGGAAAAUCAACAGCAACAACAACAAAAAAGGAAUCUUGAAAUUUGGCAGAAAAACAUGCAAUGCAAACCCCACAAGAACGUGAGUAUCUUUGCACAAAGCCACUUACGGAUGCAUUCCUUAAAGGUAAUCCCUUCAGACAGUGUGAGGCUGCCAUUUUUUUGAAAGAUAUUAAAGCAGCUGUUGCUAGAACACAGAGAAUUACUGAGCUAUCUGCCAAGGGAUGGACAUUUGUAAUGCUAUAUCUACUUUUUUUUUUUUUAAUUUACAGUUUAUUUUGAGACCAAAUUUCCAGCUAGUGAAGGUAAUUGAGACUGCAAACAAAAUCUCACUAUCCACUGAUCUGCCAAAUCAAAUUUUUUCUCCUGUGAGCCAAUUCACCCCUAAAAUUCAAGUAUUCACACCUCAUCACUCCAGCAGGAUGCUCCUCCAAGGUGGGAAAGCAGCCCUGAGGUGACAGCUCUGCAGCACUUUGGGGGACUCAGGAGCAGGUCCCUGCCAUGCAGGUGUCACAGAGAAAUCAGAUUGUGACAGUGUAACCAAGAACUGCAUUGGAGUAUGUGUGCACAAGAAAAUCUCCAGAAAUUGGUAUGGAAUGCCUCACUUUGGACACUUCUCAUGUCUGGACCAGGUAACACAGCGACCUUCACAACAUCCCUUAAGGCAGACUGUGCUGUAGAUGAGGUGGGAUCUGUAGGUGAAGUCCUGUCAGGGUCUGAAAGACAGGGGCUGUGCUCAUGAAUCCCAUUGCUCUUGUAAUCCAAGGAAACGCUUUUAGUCAGUAGCUGAUGUUUCCUGCUCCCUGGGGGGCUGCUGAGAGGGCUCUGAGCACCUGAAGCAGCAGGUGCCCCAAGAGCAGCAUUUUGAGAGAUUUCAGCUGCCAGAGCUGGGCAUGCUUAUUGCUGUGUGGUGAACUGCUCUUCAAAACCCAGUAACAUGACUAAUUUGGGUGGCUUUAUCUAAAAGCCUAUAAAAGGCUGCUUCAUGCCAAAUUUCACGACGUUAUUUCCAGUGUUAGCCCUAAGAACCACAGCAAGCAAGAAUGACCAAAGUGAUGCUCUUCCCCUACUCUGCUUUCAUCCUUGGAAGUGCCAAAGGACUUGGAACGUUCGGAAAACAUCCAACACAGACUGCCAAGGCAGAAAGUUACAGCCUAAUUCAUUCAAGUUUGGUAAUUCAUAACAAGCCACAACAGGGAUGUAAGCUGGGGAGCAUCUGGCUAUUGUAGCUCUGGUUCCUAAUGGUUUAUAAUUGGUAAAUCACAGUUUUAGGGCUGACCAGCUUAAUGAAUUGAAAGAGAUGAUGGCAGAUUGUCACUGAAAGAGUCUUUACCUUGAAUUUUAAUCUU